Molecule: long non-coding RNA, 787 nt
Organism: Ziziphus jujuba (common jujube)
Lineage: Eukaryota; Viridiplantae; Streptophyta; Magnoliopsida; Rosales; Rhamnaceae
Exons: 2
Source: RefSeq, a predicted model, not a curated record
UGGAAGAUUGCAUAGAUAUUUAGCCAUCUUGUACCUCUUAUAGCUUGGGAAAUGAAAAAAUUAUAUAUGUGCAUAUGUGUGAAUAUAUUUUGCUUUGUGAUUUGGAAACAAAAAAUUAUAUACAUGUUUAUUAUAAGGUUGUUAUAAUAUUUUAUUUUAAUAUAUAAUUUUUUUUGGUUUGAAAACAUGUAGAUAAACAUGGAUGGACUUCAAAUAAAUCUUGAAUCAAGUAGCUUUGAAAUGCCUAUUAAUUUAGAAGAUGUUGCAAGUCCUAUGGAGGGAGUCACAAGUGGGCAUAAAGUGAAACGCAAGAGAAAACUCACUUCAAAGGUUUGGUCUUACUUUGAUGUGCUUCCUUUGGAUGUUGAUGGUAAGCAAAAAUGUAAAUGUAAAGAUUGUGGUACCAUUUAUCUUUGUGAUAGUAAAUAUGGAACGGGAAAUUUGGUGCGUCAUUUGAAAAAUUGUGUGAAAAGAGACACUCGUGAUCUUACUGAAGAUGUUUUGAGCUGUGAUAUCAAUAAAGAAGAAUCUUCAAGUCAAUGCUCUAAUUAUGCUAAUACUCAAGCAUAAGGCUGGAUUGUUGAGCACCAAAAAUCGACAUAUUUGGUUUGGAAUCUGGACAUCGAUAAAUAAAUUUGGAGCAUAAUGAUAGUUAUGUCCUUUUUCCUUUGGUUUUAUAUGUAUUAUGAUAACAAUUUGAUACCAUUUAUUUUAUUUUGUAUUGGUGUUUUACUAUUAUUAGGACAUUAAAUUUUAUGUUGGUGUAUUGAAUUUGUCUUUUUUAGCA